UUUCCGUAGGUGAACCUGCGGAAGGAUCAUUAAAGAGUAAGGGUCUUCUAGGCCCGACCUCCCAACCCUUUGUUUACCAAACCAUUGUUGCUUCGGCGGGCCCGUCCCAGGACCGCCGGAGGACCGUCAAACGUCCUCUGGCCCGCGCCCGUCGAUGGCCCCUAUCAUUAAACUCUGAACCAAACGUGUCCUGUCUGAGUGAUUAUUAUCAAAAAUUAAAGCAAAAACUUUCGACAACGGAUCUCUUGGUUCUG
RNAcentral lists this unclassified non-coding RNA (254 nucleotides) under plant metagenome. RNAcentral describes it as "partial contains small subunit ribosomal RNA, internal transcribed spacer 1, and 5.8S ribosomal RNA". The record is from RNAcentral.